UUUUUUUUGUUUAACUGAUACGGCGAAUAGUUUACAUGUAUUCUGCUUUGAUUUCACGACCAAAUUCUAGACUUAAAAACCUGUCUUUAUUUUUGCAAUGAAUGUUCUUUCCAGUAACGCCCAGAACCGGCUAUUCUCUUCGGGGCUUCUUUCGAGUUCAGAUGGCUGUAAUAAAGGGCCUCUCUGCCUUCUUCGUAGAGUUAGCAAAAUGAGAACCCAGGACUACGAAGUCAGGUGCCCGGCGCAGCAGGAGCACUUGAAUCGGUGAAAAUGUUUCCCGAGGCUGAGCAAUAAAAACUCGAGCCUUUUUCCAGAAGCCUCUCUGAAAACGGCCACUAGAGGGUUAUGGGUGUCACUGUCUAUCUCUAAUUGUCCUGAGAGUAAGUCAGACUAGGCAGUGGUUGGUGUGUGCAGUGAACUUCCAGAGGAAGUGGUGGAUGUGGUACAGUUGCAAAAUUUAAAAGACGUUUGGAUCACUUCAAACCUGUUCCUCUUGUUCUUGAUCCUUUGGCGCAGGAAGUUUCUCUCUAUCCAGCCCCCUGAUAUUUUUUGAAAACCUCUACCAGAUCUCGUCCUGGCCUUGUCUCUAAGGAGAGAAACCCUAAUCUUUCCAAUCUAUCUCCAUCCCUGAAAUUGUUCUUGUAAAUUACUUUUGCACACUUGUACAGUAAAUCUCUUCACCUAGUUUUCAGGUGCAAUCCUUUUAUUUUAUCUUAAUGUAACUUGCAUAAUGCAAUAUGCCAAUAUAUAACUAACUGAAUACUUACAAAGGGAAGAAUUCUCCCAAACAGCAAUUAGGAAAGUUAACAAUGAUCUUUAUCACAAGGAGAACUGAAUACAGAGCAGGAAGGUUGUGCUUCAAUUAUACAAGGCAUAGGUGGAACCACAUCUGAAGUACUGUGUACAGUAUUCAAUUUGAAGACAGAUGUAAAUGUAUUGACACACUACAUUAUAACCACAUUUACAAAGACAUUUACAUCCCACUUCCUGGUCUGUAUUCAAUUCUCCUUGUGACAAAGAUCAUUCUGUUAACUUGCCUAACGAGUUGUCUUAUGAGGAAGGGUUUGACAGGCAAAGUUUGUAUCUGCUGGAGUUUUGAGAAGAAUCAACAUGAUUCAAACAGAAGAUCCUAGGGGGUUUUGACAGGUAGAUAUUGAGAGGAUGUUUCUUCUUAUGAGAGAACUUAGAACGUGCGGGUUACUGUCUACAAAUUAGGGAUCGACCACUUAAAAGUUGAGAUUUAUUUCUCAAAGUAGAGUCUUCGGGACUCACUUCCUCAAAAGAUGGUGGUAACAGAACCCUUGAAUGUUUUAAGGCAGAGGUACAUAUAUUCUUAUUUAGGAAGAUGGUGAAGUGUUAUUGUGGGUAGGCAAGAAAGUACAUUUGAAGUUAGUCAUGGCUGAACUGAUUCUAUUAAAUGGUGAAGCAUGCUUGAGCGACUGAAUGGCCUAGUCCUACUCUUUGCUGGUCUGGUAUAACAGAUGAAGAUACUGCUUAAAAUAUUGCAGAUGAUAAGGUUCCUCAGCUUCACUUUGGUGAUGUCAUUGUUGCUUUAUGCUUGUCAGAAUGUGCGAAAGAGCUUUAAACAAAAAAUGAAAUUGCUGGAAAAGCUCAGCAAGUUUGGCAGCAUCUGUGGAGAGAAAUCAGUUAAUGUUUCAGGUUGAGUGACCCUUCCUCGAAACUUAAAAGCCUUAACCCUGACUGCAGUAAACCACUAGCACUCCUGCAAAAGUCCCGGCGGGGGGGAGGAGAGAAAAACAAACAUUGCCCCUGGAUUGAUGGAGAUUUUUUUCCAUCAUAAAAUUGUCAUUCUUUCAAAUGAAGAGGUUACCAUCAAUAUUACAAUUGUAAAAUCUAGACUAUCAAAUGCAGUUUAAGUCUUCAGCAUUUUCAUUGUCUAAAUUUCACUGGGAAAUUUAACAGCAUUGCUGUGAUAAGGCUGUCCUUUCUUUGCUAUAUGUUGCAUUCUGCAGAAGGCUUGAGUCUGUUGUAUGAUUUGGUUUUGGUUUCUGUUUCUUAGACGUAAGAUGAUUGAUCAGAAAUUUUAACAAAUGAAUUAUCUUUGGCUCACAAAUGACAAUAUAUUCCAGCCUAAGUGAAAUUGUGCACAAGUAGCCAAACUAUGGAGAAAAUAAUUCUACAGUUCAUUUUCUGAAAACUGGAAGAUUUCAAAACUUAUGCAAGAUGUUCCAAAGAAAAUAUUUUGCAUAUCUUUUACAGAUGGUUAAGAUACUCUCUUCCAUUUUGAUCAGCUGAUGCAUCUUAAUUUAACUCAGUGCUGUUCACCAGUGAAAAUGGAUAUUUACUCUGGGAUGUUUUGAAUAAAAUUACUUUGAGAAGUUUCUUCAAA
Stegostoma tigrinum is the source of this 2350-nucleotide long non-coding RNA. RefSeq lists it as uncharacterized. The transcript is spliced from 5 exons. The record is from RefSeq and is a predicted model, not a curated record. Lineage: Eukaryota; Metazoa; Chordata; Chondrichthyes; Orectolobiformes; Stegostomatidae.